AUUCCAUGAUGGGGACAUUCUAGGAUGUAGUCUUGGAAGCACUCCCAUGCUUCUGGAACAGAUUCAUCAUUUUGUUGAUGAAAACUUGUAAUCUUCCCACGGAGAGC
This 107-nucleotide small nucleolar RNA is filed under the name Sorghum bicolor (sorghum). RNAcentral's name for it is "Plant small nucleolar RNA R71". It matches the Rfam family "Plant small nucleolar RNA R71". Rfam says of the family: R71 is a member of the C/D box family of snoRNAs containing the C (UGAUGA) and D (CUGA) box motifs. Multiple nearly identical copies of this snoRNA have been identified in Arabidopsis, and it is thought to function as a 2'-O-ribose methylation guide for 18S ribosomal RNA. Lineage: Eukaryota; Viridiplantae; Streptophyta; Magnoliopsida; Poales; Poaceae. The record is from Rfam by way of RNAcentral.